GUGCUCACUUCGGCAGCACAUAUGCUAACAUUGGAAUAAUACAGAGAAAAUUAACAUGGCCCCUGUGCAAGGCUGAUGUACAAAUUCAUGAACUGUUCCUUUUUUUU
Small nuclear RNA from Gorilla gorilla gorilla (western lowland gorilla), 107 nucleotides. The record is from Ensembl. NCBI's taxonomy places the organism in Eukaryota, Metazoa, Chordata, Mammalia, Primates, Hominidae.